CAAGGGGAAGCUGAAUCAAGGGAAAUUUAUUUUCAGAACGGGACAGAAAGCAUCCACAGUAUUAGUUGGUAAGGAAGAGAAAACAUAAGUUCUGAAGGUUAGAGAGAAGAGACAGUCCAAUGAAACUUCUGCAGAGGUGAGGGGACAGGAGCUCAGGUCGAGGUGUGUUUCUGAAGGGACUCGGAGAUGUGAGAGAACUCACUAAGGAAAGGUGAUGAUGGAUGAGGCAUGGGGUGAGCUCAUCUGAACCAAGAGUUGCCUCACAGCAAAUGAGAUCUUCUGAUGAGUUGGGAUUUUCCACAGUCCCAACUACAGCACAUUCAGGGUCUUAUGGAAUCUUUCUCAUCGGGACUUCCUGGGAAGAUGGGAACAAAUGCCUAUUCACGUCAGAUAGGGCCCGGAUGACAGACAAGAGAGCCUCUUCCACUGUAAACUCCACGAGAGCAAGACUUUUAUUUCUUAUUGUCUGUAGAAGCCUUAAUAUCUAUUUACUGUCUGAAUGAAUGAUGCAUCACAGACCAUUGGAGCUGGCAGGGGCCUUCUUUUGUUUGCAUCACGUAAAGGUAUUCCUUGGAGACACCUGGAGGAUCUUGAGGAGGGAUGAUGUCAGUAAUGGUCUGAUGUAUAUCUAGCGCCUUCCAGUUUACAGAACAAUUUGAACACCACACCGGACCUAUGGGAAGUGGAGAAGACAUAGUUAUUUCCAUUCAACGCACAAGCAAAGUGGAAAGAUGCUCAAGAAGUGUUUAGGGGACUGAUGUCAUACAGAAGAGUCCAGCUUCUCAGUCCAUGGGCUGGCAGAGCACUUUAUAACAAGAUGGUUCAUUAUGUCAACCCCACCCAGCAGCAUAAGCUUCUGGUGGUCUGCGUGAGGACCUGUCACCAGAACAUACGGCCAAGUUAAGACUGACCAUUCUUCACAGUGGGAAAAGACGUUGGGAGGCAAUAGGGACAAACGGGUGUGCAGCUCAGGGGAGAGAGACAGAGGCAGGAAGGGAGAUGGGAAGUACAAGCACAGAGGUGUUGAGUAGUCUUCAUUUAUCAGACCUCAGCACCUCUCGCUCACCCCAGAGGGCAGUGGGAGCAACGCCUGCAUGCCCGCUACAUUCCCAAUGCCUCUGAACCUCAGCUCAGAGGAUAGAGCUCACUGUGAAAACCAGCUGCCAGGCUGCUGUCUCCAGGUCUCCCUGGCUCUGCAGUCCCUGUCCUCUCGGAAAUACUGAGCUCAGGAGGAAGGAAUUCCCUCGGUACCUCUGUUGUUCCCUUCUCUUGUUUCCUAAGAGAACCUAGUAUUUCAGUGACUCUGCUUCCAAAGAGCUCCACUUUGAUGCCAGUAUCCUGCCAGAAAUUCUUCUGCACGUAUCUUUAAUCAUGUGGCAAAUUACCUUAUUAAUCACCAGGGACUCCAGUCUCAUUACUUAAUUAAACCAUCUCUUCUUGUGCUUCUUAUUAAAACCACGUGAGUUUUUAACUUCUGUGUGGGUUUUCUUUCCCCUCUCUUCGAGUGUCUGUAGAAUAUGAACUGUACAGAAGAAGGCCGGUUAUUUUGUGUGGCUGACUAAAGGGUUACAACAUUAAAUAAACAGGGAGGUCAGGCACUGUCUGGAUAGGCC
Mus spicilegus (steppe mouse) is the source of this 1613-nucleotide long non-coding RNA. Lineage: Eukaryota; Metazoa; Chordata; Mammalia; Rodentia; Muridae. The record is from Ensembl.